Molecule: ribosomal RNA, 376 nt
Filed under: Dendrobates tinctorius (dyeing poison frog)
Lineage: Eukaryota; Metazoa; Chordata; Amphibia; Anura; Dendrobatidae
Description: partial 16S ribosomal RNA
Rfam family: Bacterial large subunit ribosomal RNA
Source: RNAcentral
GUGACAUAUAGUUCAACGGCCGCGGUAUCCUAACCGUGCGAAGGUAGCGUAAUCACUUGUUCUUUAAUUGAGGACUAGUAUGAACGGCUUCACGAAGACUACACUGUCUCCUUUUUCUAAUCAAUGAAACUAAUCUCCCCGUGAAGAAGCGGGGAUAAACCUAUAAGACGAGAAGACCCUAUGGAGCUUUAAACGAUCGAAAUAUUUGCUACCUCACUUUUCACCUCCUGAGAACUAAAUAUAUUUUCAGCAUCUUAAUUUCUAGUUUUAGGUUGGGGUGACCACGGAGAACAAACUAACCUCCACGCUGAACGAGCCUUUCUCUUAGCAAAAAGUCACAACUUUAUGCAUCAAUACAUUGACUUCCAUUGACCCA